CUCUAACCUACGGAUUGUGGUUGAUCUGCGACCAAGACAGAGUGUGGUGACUCCCAUGGCACAACAUGCUCAUGGCAAGCUGUGGGAGGGUACAGAAACCACAAAGUGAUGGUGACUCCUUCUUUUGGAGCCAUGGACAGGACAGCAGGAGACUGGGUCAGCACAAUCUCACCAUGAGAGGCUGAAACCACACAGGAAACAUUGGCAGAGCCUCAUGAUAUGUACAUGGAAGUCACCAGUAUCUCGUU
RNAcentral lists this long non-coding RNA (248 nucleotides) under Mustela putorius furo (domestic ferret). Its description in RNAcentral is "lncRNA (ENSMPUG00000031488.1)". Lineage: Eukaryota; Metazoa; Chordata; Mammalia; Carnivora; Mustelidae. The record is from RNAcentral.